This 399-nucleotide RNase P RNA is filed under the name Deltaproteobacteria bacterium. Its description in RNAcentral is "RNase P RNA component class A". It matches the Rfam family "Bacterial RNase P class A". From Rfam's summary of the family: Ribonuclease P (RNase P) is a ubiquitous endoribonuclease, found in archaea, bacteria and eukarya as well as chloroplasts and mitochondria. Lineage: Bacteria; Pseudomonadati; Myxococcota; Myxococcia. The record is from RNAcentral.
GGAGUGGGCCGGGUGGUCGCCGGUGCACGGCAGACCGUUGUGCACGGGAGGAAAGUCCGAGCUCCACAGGGAAGGGUGCUGGCUAACGGCCAGGCGCGGCGACGCGACGGAAAGUGCCACAGAAAACAGACAGCCAUCGCGCGCCCUCGGGCGCGCGGCGGUGAUGGUGAAAAGGUGCGGUAAGAGCGCACCGCGGCCCGUGGUGACAUGGGCCGGCACGGAAAACCCCACCCGGAGCAAUGCCGAAUAGGAGCCCCCGGCACGCGAGUGCCACCGGCAACCCGCCGGAGUGGGGCUCGGGUUGGCAGCUCGAGCGCGCGAGUAAUCGCGCGCCUAGAUGAAUGACCACCGCCGGGCGCAAGCCCGGUACAGGACUCGGCUUAUAGGCCCACUCCGGGG